UAUUCGCUGGCCAGCCUCGUGCAUGGCUGGCACGUGGGCCCACUCUCCUCAAAAGGAAUAAUUGAUGCAGUAAAAAAUUUACUAGGAGUAGUACGUAGGUUUUUUUACUAGUUUGAGGGUGGUGGAUUUACUGUGGGGGUUGGAUGGGUGUAGAUUUGUUGCGAAAUUUGGCUGGAAAUGGGAAUCCGAGGUGAAAUUUAUUGGAUUUUUGCCGUGUAGAGGGCAGGCAGCAUGCAUGGCUUGCAUGUGAAUCCAAAGCUAGCAAAACAUCAUUCAAAGCCUCACUGCUGCAGUUUUAGGUUGGGGCAGAAAAAACGGUAGCAAUAAAGAAGGUAAUCUUUUUUGCACUGUAUAUAGAGAGAGAGAAUAAAAAGGGAGCUGCUUUUUUUAGGUGAAAAGACUCGAAAAGAGUGGUGAGUUUAGGUUGUUCUAGAUGAUGGUGGUGUUCCUGCACUGCAGUGCUCUUUGUGUGGAUUUAUUUUUAGCUAAGGGAAUGAUUGGGAAAUUUUGCUGUGUUUUUUUGUGUAGUGGUAAAGAGAAAAGGACUAGCAUAUCAUAAAGUGAGAGAGAGAAAAAAAUAAAGCUUAGUGCAGGAUGGAUUAUGUGUGUAGCUAGGGGGGAGAGGGGGUCAGGCUUGCACUAAGAAAGCAAUGAAUAAAAUGGGAGGGGUACAUUUUAGUACUACGAAAUCACAGUUGCGGUGCACUUAGAUAAUAAUCACAGUAUAUUAAGGUCGACAAAAGUACACAUCUUGAUAUACAAAACUAGUUACAGAAAGAUGGAAAAUUUUUUACUCUAGUGAAUUAUUGUUAGCACUCAUGAGAAACACUUGCACUAGUUUAGGAGGAGAAGGUUCCAAAUCCUUUCUUCUUUUUGGAACCAAUACAACUAGAACAAUCUUUUUCUCCCAUUGAUAGACAGAUAGAGAAAGUGGC
This 935-nucleotide small RNA is filed under the name Oryza sativa Japonica Group (Japanese rice). RNAcentral describes it as "sRNA Os08g0160700". The record is from RNAcentral. Lineage: Eukaryota; Viridiplantae; Streptophyta; Magnoliopsida; Poales; Poaceae.